Molecule: transfer RNA, 74 nt
Filed under: Pteropus alecto (black flying fox)
Lineage: Eukaryota; Metazoa; Chordata; Mammalia; Chiroptera; Pteropodidae
Rfam family: tRNA
About the family: Transfer RNA (tRNA) molecules are approximately 80 nucleotides in length. Their secondary structure includes four short double-helical elements and three loops (D, anti-codon, and T loops). Further hydrogen bonds mediate the characteristic L-shaped molecular structure. tRNAs have two regions of fundamental functional importance: the anti-codon, which is responsible for specific mRNA codon recognition, and the 3' end, to which the tRNAs corresponding amino acid is attached (by aminoacyl-tRNA synthetases). tRNAs cope with the degeneracy of the genetic code in two manners: having more than one tRNA (with a specific anti-codon) for a particular amino acid; and 'wobble' base-pairing, i.e. permitting non-standard base-pairing at the 3rd anti-codon position.
Source: Rfam by way of RNAcentral
GGCUCAAUAGUGUAGCUGUUAUCAUGUCUGCUUUAUACUCAGAAGGUCCUUUGUUCGCUCCCUAGGUAGAGCCA